GGCCUGCCACCCGCAGCAGAGCGCGUGACUGGCAGUCACGAGGUCGUGGGUUCGAUCCCCAUCAGCUCACCA
RNAcentral lists this transfer RNA (72 nucleotides) under Acidobacteriota bacterium. Its description in RNAcentral is "Acidobacteria bacterium tRNA-Ala". Lineage: Bacteria; Pseudomonadati; Acidobacteriota. The record is from RNAcentral.